RNAcentral lists this non-coding RNA (28 nucleotides) under Homo sapiens (human). The record is from RNAcentral. Lineage: Eukaryota; Metazoa; Chordata; Mammalia; Primates; Hominidae.
CAGGAAGUGCUGGAGGACGUGGCAUUGC